This 262-nucleotide unclassified non-coding RNA is filed under the name Hevea brasiliensis (rubber tree). Lineage: Eukaryota; Viridiplantae; Streptophyta; Magnoliopsida; Malpighiales; Euphorbiaceae. The record is from RNAcentral.
UAAACGUGAACUCUUCCAGGUAAUGUAUGGCAGAGCAGCUCAUGCAAGUUGGUUGACUGUUGAUACUUGAGUGGAUUUCUGCUUUUUAUUUUAUAUUAUGCUUUACAAAGUCUCUCAACAGUGCGCUUUUGUUACCUGUCCCCAAUUUUUAUAAUCAUCUCUUCCUUCAACCUUUUUUAUGUUUUUUCUUCCUCUUUUUCUCCAUCUGUCUCUCUUGCCAUCCUUUGAUUUGCUAACAAUUUUCUACUUGCCCAGAUAUUGU